Molecule: non-coding RNA, 523 nt
Organism: Oryctolagus cuniculus (rabbit)
Lineage: Eukaryota; Metazoa; Chordata; Mammalia; Lagomorpha; Leporidae
Source: RefSeq, a predicted model, not a curated record
UCUCACUGGGAGCCUUGGAAACCAGAACGGGGUCCAAAACGAAGUGGACAGGGCUCGUUUCAGACAAGUGACAAGAUUCAAGAUGAAUUUUGCAGUGUUCCUUCGUAUGUGCUUUAUUGGGAAAAGGAAAACGCAUGAGAUAGGAUCAGGAUGAGAAAUGCAGUGAGAAGAAGGACUUGCUCGCUUCAGUGCACUCCCCUUAUUAUCACCAGAUGAAAUUUUCCCUGAGUCACCCAAGGAAGUUGAACACUUGAUGUCGGGUAGACGUGGCCUAAGUGUCAGCUGCUGUACCUAGGAAUCCCAUGAGUAAUAAACAGUAAUGAAGGUGGAGAGCUUGCCCCAGGACAUCGUUUUGGUGAUAGAACUUAUUGGCAAGUGAACACAGAGAAAUGAGUACAAGUAAUUUCAUUAUGCCUGGUGCCACUGUAUUAUCACCUGAAGAAUUUUAAUCCUUAGUAUAACUAACAAUCCUAUUAACAUAAUUUUGACCAUCAACCCAGCUACAUAGGAGGGUAAUUUUAAA